UACGGAGGGUCCAAGCGUUAUCCGGAAUCAUUGGGCUUAAAGGGUGCGUAGGCGGUUUUGUAAGUCAGUGGUGAAAGCCCAUCGCUCAACGGUGGAACGGCCAUUGAUACUGCAAGACUUGAAUUAUUGGGAAGCAACUAGAAUAUGUAGUGUAGCGGUGAAAUGCUUAGAGAUUACAUGGAAUACCAAUUGCGAAGGCAGGUUGCUGGCAAUACAUUGACGCUGAUGGACGAAAGCGUGGGGAGCAAACAGG
Molecule: ribosomal RNA, 253 nt
Filed under: uncultured bacterium
Lineage: Bacteria
Description: partial 16S ribosomal RNA
Rfam family: Bacterial small subunit ribosomal RNA
Source: RNAcentral